RNAcentral lists this ribosomal RNA (468 nucleotides) under uncultured bacterium. RNAcentral describes it as "partial 16S ribosomal RNA". It matches the Rfam family "Bacterial small subunit ribosomal RNA", at positions 328 to 793 of the family's 1533-position model. The record is from RNAcentral.
UUCCCAGACUCCUACGGGAGGCAGCAGUGAGGAAUAUUGGUCAAUGGGCGCUCUUCUGAACCAGCCCCGUCGCGUGAAGGAUGACUGCCCUAUGGUUUUUAAACUUCUUUUCUCUGGGAAUACCCUGUUCCACGUUUUUUCUUUUGUAUUUCCCCUAUGAAUACUUCUCUGCUAACUCCUUUCCAGCAGCCUCUUUCCUACGGAGUCUCCUCGCGUUAUCCGGAUUUAUUGGGUUUAAAGGGAGCGUAGGGGGAUGGUUAAGUCAUGGGUGAAAGUUUUCGGCGCAACCGUAAAAUUGCAGUUGAAACUGGCAGUCUUGAGUACAGUAGAGGGGGGCGGAAUUCGGGGUGUAGCGGUGAAAUGCUUAGAGAGAACGAAGAACUCCGAUUGCGAAGGCAGCUCACUGGACUGCAACUGACACUGAGGCUCGAAAGUGUGGUUAGCACACAGGAUUAGAUACCCGAGUAA